AUAAUCAUGGAGUAUAAUAAUUAAAUUUAAUAAAUUUAAUAUAACUAUUAAUAGAAUUAGGUUACUAAUAAAUUAAUAACAAUUAAUUUUAAAACCUAAAGGUAAACCUUUAUAUUAAUAAUGUUAUUUUUUAUUAUAUUUAUAAUAAGAAUAAUUAUUAAUAAUAAUAAACUAAGUGAACUGAAACAUCUAAGUAACUUAAGGAUAAGAAAUCAACAGAGAUAUUAUGAGUAUUGGUGAGAGAAAAUAAUAAAGGUCUAAUAAGUAUUAUGUGAAAAAAAUGUAAGAAAAUAGGAUAACAAAUUCUAAGACUAAAUACUAUUAAUAAGUAUAGUAAGUACCGUAAGGGAAAGUAUGAAAAUGAUUAUUUUAUAAGCAAUCAUGAAUAUAUUAUAUUAUAUUAAUGAUGUACCUUUUGUAUAAUGGGUCAGCAAGUAAUUAAUAUUAGUAAAACAAUAAGUUAUAAAUAAAUAGAAUAAUAUAUAUAUAUAUAAAAAUAUAUUAAAAUAUUUAAUUAAUAUUAAUUGACCCGAAAGCAAACGAUCUAACUAUGAUAAGAUGGAUAAACGAUCGAACAGGUUGAUGUUGCAAUAUCAUCUGAUUAAUUGUGGUUAGUAGUGAAAGACAAAUCUGGUUUGCAGAUAGCUGGUUUUCUAUGAAAUAUAUGUAAGUAUAGCCUUUAUAAAUAAUAAUUAUUAUAUAAUAUUAUAUUAAUAUUAUAUAAAGAAUGGUACAGCAAUUAAUAUAUAUUAGGGAACUAUUAAAGUUUUAUUAAUAAUAUUAAAUCUCGAAAUAUUUAAUUAUAUAUAAUAAAGAGUCAGAUUAUGUGCGAUAAGGUAAAUAAUCUAAAGGGAAACAGCCCAGAUUAAGAUAUAAAGUUCCUAAUAAAUAAUAAGUGAAAUAAAUAUUAAAAUAUUAUAAUAUAAUCAGUUAAUGGGUUUGACAAUAACCAUUUUUUAAUGAACAUGUAACAAUGCACUGAUUUAUAAUAAAUAAAAAAAAAUAAUAUUUAAAAUCAAAUAUAUAUAUAUUUGUUAAUAGAUAAUAUACGGAUCUUAAUAAUAAGAAUUAUUUAAUUCCUAAUAUGGAAUAUUAUAUUUUUAUAAUAAAAAUAUAAAUACUGAAUAUCUAAAUAUUAUUAUUACUUUUUUUUUAAUAAUAAUAAUAUGGUAAUAGAACAUUUAAUGAUAAUAUAUAUUAGUUAUUAAUUAAUAUAUGUAUUAAUUAAAUAGAGAAUGCUGACAUGAGUAACGAAAAAAAGGUAUAAACCUUUUCACCUAAAACAUAAGGUUUAACUAUAAAAGUACGGCCCCUAAUUAAAUUAAUAAGAAUAUAAAUAUAUUUAAGAUGGGAUAAUCUAUAUUAAUAAAAAUUUAUCUUAAAAUAUAUAUAUUAUUAAUAAUUAUAUUAAUAAUAUAUAUAAUUAUAUUAUAUAUUUUUUUUUUUAUAUAAUAUAAACUAAUAAAGAUCAGGAAAUAAUUAAUGUAUACCGUAAUGUAGACCGACUCAGGUAUGUAAGUAGAGAAUAUGAAGGUGAAUUAGAUAAUUAAAGGGAAGGAACUCGGCAAAGAUAGCUCAUAAGUUAGUCAAUAAAGAGUAAUAAGAACAAAGUUGUACAACUGUUUACUAAAAACACCGCACUUUGCAGAAACGAUAAGUUUAAGUAUAAGGUGUGAACUCUGCUCCAUGCUUAAUAUAUAAAUAAAAUUAUUUAACGAUAAUUUUAUUAAAUUUAGGUAAAUAGCAGCCUUAUUAUGAGGGUUAUAAUGUAGCGAAAUUCCUUGGCCUAUAAUUGAGGUCCCGCAUGAAUGACGUAAUGAUACAACAACUGUCUCCCCUUUAAGCUAAGUGAAAUUGAAAUCGUAGUGAAGAUGCUAUGUACCUUCAGCAAGACGGAAAGACCCUAUGCAGCUUUACUGUAAUUAGAUAGAUCGAAUUAUUGUUUAUUAUAUUCAGCAUAUUAAGUAAUCCUAUUAUUAGGUAAUCGUUUAGAUAUUAAUGAGAUACUUAUUAUAAUAUAAUGAUAAUUCUAAUCUUAUAAAUAAUUAUUAUUAUUAUUAUUAAUAAUAAUAAUAUGCUUUCAAGCAUAGUGAUAAAACAUAUUUAUAUGAUAAUCACUUUACUUAAUAGAUAUAAUUCUUAAGUAAUAUAUAAUAUAUAUUUUAUAUAUAUUAUAUAUAAUAUAAGAGACAAUCUCUAAUUGGUAGUUUUGAUGGGGCGUCAUUAUCAGCAAAAGUAUCUGAAUAAGUCCAUAAAUAAAUAUAUAAAAUUAUUGAAUAAAAAAAAUAAUAUAUAUUAUAUAUAUUAAUUAUAAAUUGAAAUAUGUUUAUAUAAAUUUAUAUUUAUUGAAUAUAUUUUAGUAAUAGAUAAAAAUAUGUACAGUAAAAUUGUAAGGAAAACAAUAAUAACUUUCUCCUCUCUCGGUGGGGGUUCACACCUAUUUUUAAUAGGUGUUCACCCCUCUUCGGGGUUCCGGUUCCCUUUCGGGUCCCGGAACUUAAAUAAAAAUGGAAAGAAUUAAAUUAAUAUAAUGGUAUAACUGUGCGAUAAUUGUAACACAAACGAGUGAAACAAGUACGUAAGUAUGGCAUAAUGAACAAAUAACACUGAUUGUAAAGGUUAUUGAUAACGAAUAAAAGUUACGCUAGGGAUAACAGGGUAAUAUAACGAAAGAGUAGAUAUUGUAAGUUAUGUUUGCCACCUCGAUGUCGACUCAACAUUUCCUCUUGGUUGUAAAAGCUAAGAAGGGUUUGACUGUUCGUCAAUUAAAAUGUUACGUGAGUUGGGUUAAAUACGAUGUGAAUCAGUAUGGUUCCUAUCUGCUGAAGGAAAUAUUAUCAAAUUAAAUCUCAUUAUUAGUACGCAAGGACCAUAAUGAAUCAACCCAUGGUGUAUCUAUUGAUAAUAAUAUAAUAUAUUUAAUAAAAAUAAUACUUUAUUAAUAUAUUAUCUAUAUUAGUUUAUAUUUUAAUUAUAUAUUAUCAUAGUAGAUAAGCUAAGUUGAUAAUAAAUAAAUAUUGAAUACAUAUUAAAUAUGAAGUUGUUUUAAUAAGAUAAUUAAUCUGAUAAUUUUAUACUAAAAUUAAUAAUUAUAGGUUUUAUAUAUUAUUUAUAAAUAAAUAUAUUAUAAUAAUAAUAAUUAUUAUUAUUAAUAAAAAAUAU
This 3162-nucleotide ribosomal RNA is filed under the name Saccharomyces cerevisiae (brewer's yeast). It matches the Rfam family "Bacterial large subunit ribosomal RNA". Lineage: Eukaryota; Fungi; Ascomycota; Saccharomycetes; Saccharomycetales; Saccharomycetaceae. The record is from RNAcentral.